UCCCUGGUGUCUCAACUGGUAAAGAAUCCACCUGCAAUGUGGGAGACCCAGGUUUGACCCCUGGGUUGGGAA
RNAcentral lists this transfer RNA (72 nucleotides) under Bos taurus (domestic cattle). It matches the Rfam family "tRNA". Rfam says of the family: Transfer RNA (tRNA) molecules are approximately 80 nucleotides in length. Their secondary structure includes four short double-helical elements and three loops (D, anti-codon, and T loops). Lineage: Eukaryota; Metazoa; Chordata; Mammalia; Artiodactyla; Bovidae. RNAcentral also lists the same sequence under 5 other names. The record is from Rfam by way of RNAcentral.